CCUACGGGUGGCAGCAGUAGGGAAUCUUCCACAAUGGACGAAAGUCUGAUGGAGCAACGCCGCGUGAGUGAAGAAGGGUUUCGGCUCGUAAAGCUCUGUUGGUAGUGAAGAAAGAUAGAGGUAGUAACUGGUCUGUAUUUGACGGCAAUUACUUAGAAAGUCACGGCUAACUACGUGCCAGCAGCCGCGGUAAUACGUAGGUGGCAAGCGUUGUCCGGAUUUAUUGGGCGUAAAGCGAGUGCAGGCGGUUCAAUAAGUCUGAUGUGAAAGCCUUCGGCUCAACCGGAGAAUUGCAUCAGAAACUGUUGAACUAGAGUGCAGAAGAGGAGAGUGGAACUACAUGUGUAGCGGUAGAAUGCGUAGAGAUAUGGAAGAACACCAGUGGCGAAGGCGGCUCUCUGGUCUGCAACUGACGCUGAGGCUCGAAAGCAUGGGUAGCGAACAGGAUUAGAUACCCCUGUAGUC
RNAcentral lists this ribosomal RNA (465 nucleotides) under uncultured bacterium. RNAcentral describes it as "partial 16S ribosomal RNA". It matches the Rfam family "Bacterial small subunit ribosomal RNA", at positions 338 to 795 of the family's 1533-position model. The record is from RNAcentral.